RNAcentral lists this ribosomal RNA (725 nucleotides) under uncultured Pseudomonadota bacterium. RNAcentral describes it as "bacterial SSU rRNA". It matches the Rfam family "Bacterial small subunit ribosomal RNA", at positions 28 to 744 of the family's 1533-position model. Lineage: Bacteria; Pseudomonadati; Pseudomonadota. The record is from RNAcentral.
AUUGAACGCUGGCGGCAGGCCUAACACAUGCAAGUCGAACGGUAGCACAGAGAGCUUGCUCUCGGGUGACGAGUGGCGGACGGGUGAGUAAUGUCUGGGAAACUGCCUGAUGGAGGGGGAUAACUACUGGAAACGGUAGCUAAUACCGCAUAACGUCGCAAGACCAAAGAGGGGGACCUUCGGGCCUCUUGCCAUCAGAUGUGCCCAGAUGGGAUUAGCUAGUAGGUGGGGUAACGGCUCACCUAGGCGACGAUCCCUAGCUGGUCUGAGAGGAUGACCAGCCACACUGGAACUGAGACACGGUCCAGACUCCUACGGGAGGCAGCAGUGGGGAAUAUUGCACAAUGGGCGCAAGCCUGAUGCAGCCAUGCCGCGUGUAUGAAGAAGGCCUUCGGGUUGUAAAGUACUUUCAGCGGGGAGGAAGGUGUUGAGGUUAAUAACCUCAGCAAUUGACGUUACCCGCAGAAGAAGCACCGGCUAACUCCGUGCCAGCAGCCGCGGUAAUACGGAGGGUGCAAGCGUUAAUCGGAAUUACUGGGCGUAAAGCGCACGCAGGCGGUCUGUCAAGUCGGAUGUGAAAUCCCCGGGCUCAACCUGGGAACUGCAUUCGAAACUGGCAGGCUGGAGUCUUGUAGAGGGGGGUAGAAUUCCAGGUGUAGCGGUGAAAUGCGUAGAGAUCUGGAGGAAUACCGGUGGCGAAGGCGGCCCCCUGGACAAAGACUGAC